AUUGAACGCUGGCGGCAGGCCUAACACAUGCAAGUCGAACGAGUGGCGGACGGGUGAGUAAUUUCUGGGAAACUGCCCGAUGGAGGGGGAUAACUACUGGAAACGGUAGCUAAUACCGCAUACCAUCGGAUGUGCCCAGAUGGGAUUAGCUAGUAGGUGGGGUAACGGCUCACCUAGGCGACGAUCCCUAGCUGGUCUGAGAGGAUGACCGGCCACUCUGGAACUGAGAAACGGUCCAGACUCAGACGAGAGGAAGCAGGGGGGAAUAUUGCAAAGUGGGCGCAAGACUGCUGCAGACAUGCAGCGGGUAGGAAGAAGGAUAUCGGGUUGUAAAGUACUUUCAUCGGGGAGGCGUUACCCGCAGAAGAAGCACCGGCUAACUCCGUGCCAGCAGACGCGGUAAUAC
This 406-nucleotide ribosomal RNA is filed under the name uncultured bacterium. RNAcentral describes it as "partial 16S ribosomal RNA". It matches the Rfam family "Bacterial small subunit ribosomal RNA", at positions 29 to 526 of the family's 1533-position model. The record is from RNAcentral.